GGUAUCCUGGCCGAGCGGUCUAAGGCGCCAGACUCAAGUAGUCGUACUUACCCACUUCAAGUGGGUUGUAUUCUGGUCUCGCAAGAGGCGUGAGUUCGAAUCUCACGGAUAUCA
Molecule: transfer RNA, 114 nt
Rfam family: tRNA
About the family: Transfer RNA (tRNA) molecules are approximately 80 nucleotides in length. Their secondary structure includes four short double-helical elements and three loops (D, anti-codon, and T loops).